RNAcentral lists this ribosomal RNA (1131 nucleotides) under Triticum aestivum (bread wheat). RNAcentral describes it as "partial small subunit ribosomal RNA". Lineage: Eukaryota; Viridiplantae; Streptophyta; Magnoliopsida; Poales; Poaceae. The record is from RNAcentral.
AUGGAUCCCCUGGCCGUGCUCCGGGACUACGCCGCCCGCGGCGACCUGGACAAGAUCAUCUUCAACGGCGACGACGUGCUCUUCGGCGACGACUACACCUUCCCGGCCAACGUCCCCACCGCCUUCACCUCCAAGCAGUCGGGCCGCCCCUACCCGCUCUCCGCCGCCGUCUUCCUCGCGCAGCACAACGACCUCAAGCACACCGACUUCCUCCAGGCCGCCCGCCUCCGCCGGAUCCCGCCCGUUUCCCUCCCGGACCGCAAGACCUUCCUCGACUUCCUCCACUUCGGGGACAGCUCCCUCCCCUCCGCCGAGCCCCUCCUCCCCUCCUCCUUCGCGCAGGACGCCCACCCGCCCCCGCCGCCGCCGCCCCCGGAGGAGGAGGGGGAGGACCCCGACGCCGACGAGGCCUCCACCGCCCACGUCCGCGCCCUCGAGCGGCCCCUCAAGGACCGCAACGCCGUCCUCGACGCCCGCGGCCGCGACUUCCUCGCCAUCUACCACGCCGCGCUGCGCCGCGAGGAGGACCGCCUGCGGAACAAGGACGCCGUGCCCUCCGCCACGGGCCGGCACGAGCCAUCCGCCACAGCCGCCGCCGCCCUCGCGAACCCCAAGCUUGACAAGUCGCUCGGCGACGGCUUCGUGCCCAUCAUACUGGUGCCUAGCGCGUCACAGACGCUGAUAACAAUCUACAACGUGAAGGACUUCCUGGAGGACUUCGUGUUCGUGCCCAGCGACGAGAAGAUGCGGGCCAUGAAGGGGAGCCCCAAGCCCGAGUGCGUCACCCUGCAGAAGAAGCACGUCCGCGGGGCUGGCGGUCCGGUGGCAUUCGAGGUCAGGGACAAGCCGGCCUCGCUCAAGGCCGACGACUGGGCGCGGGUCGUGGCCGUGUUUGUGCUCGGAAAGGAGUGGCAGUUCAAGGACUGGCCCUUCAAGGGUCAUGUCGACAUCUUCAACAAAGUUAUUGGGUUCUUUGUACGCUUUGAAGAUGAUAGUGUGGAUUCAGCAAAAGUGGUCAAGCAGUGGAAUGUCAAAAUCAUAUCUAUAAGCAAGAAUAAAAGGCAUCAGGACAGACCAGCUGCUCUUGAGGUGUGGGAUCGGCUGGAUGAAUUUGUGCGGGCACGCUCAUAG